This 186-nucleotide unclassified non-coding RNA is filed under the name uncultured Helotiaceae. Its description in RNAcentral is "sequence contains ITS1". Lineage: Eukaryota; Fungi; Ascomycota; Leotiomycetes; Helotiales; Helotiaceae. The record is from RNAcentral.
AUGUAACCGGACCUUACGGGUGCCGUCAAACGCAGCGGAUGGGAAUGGGAGAUAUCAUACACCCGAUGUUUAUUUACUUUUGUUGCUUUGGCGGGCCGUCCUCUUAGGCGUCGGCCCCGGCUGAUCGCGCCCGCCAGAGGACCCAAACUCUUUUAUCAGUGAUGUCUGAGUACUAUAUAAUAGUUA